CUCAGGAUGAACGCUGGCGGCGUGCUUAACACAUGCAAGUCGAACGAAGCACUUACCAAGGAUUUCUUCGGAAUGACUAUAAGUGACUGAGUGGCGGACGGGUGAGUAACGCGUGGGUAACCUACCUCAUACAGGGGGAUAACAGUUAGAAAUGACUGCUAAUACCGCAUAAGCGCACGGUAUUGCAUGAUACAGUGUGAAAAACUCCGGUGGUAUGAGAUGGACCCGCGUCUGAUUAGCUAGUUGGUGAGGUAACGGCUCACCAAGGCAACGAUCAGUAGCCGGCCUGAGAGGGUGAACGGCCACAUUGGAACUGAGACACGGUCCAAACUCCUACGGGAGGCAGCAGUGGGGAAUAUUGCACAAUGGGGGAAACCCUGAUGCAGCGACGCCGCGUGAGUGAAGAAGUAUUUCGGUAUGUAAAGCUCUAUCAGCAGGGAAGAUAAUGACGGUACCUGACUAAGAAGCUCCGGCUAAAUACGUG
RNAcentral lists this ribosomal RNA (484 nucleotides) under uncultured bacterium. RNAcentral's name for it is "bacterial SSU rRNA". It matches the Rfam family "Bacterial small subunit ribosomal RNA", at positions 23 to 507 of the family's 1533-position model. The record is from RNAcentral.